UGUGGUCGAGCGAGCUGAUAAAAAGCUUGCUUCUAUGACGUUAGCGGCGGACGGGUGAGUAACACGUGGGCAACCUGCCUGUAAGACUGGGAUAACUUCGGGAAACCGAAGCUAAUACCGGAUAGGAUCUUCUCCUUCAUGGGAGAUGAUUGAAAGAUGGUUUCGGCUAUCACUUACAGAUGGGCCCGCGGUGCAUUAGCUAGUUGGUGAGGUAACGGCUCACCAAGGCAACGAUGCAUAGCCGACCUGAGAGGGUGAUCGGCCACUCUGGGACUGACACCCGGCCCAUACUCCUACGGGAGGCAGCAGUAGGGAAUCUUCCGCAAUGGACGAAAGUCUGACGGAGCAACGCCGCGUGAGUGAUGAAGGCUUUCGGGUCGUAAAACUCUGUUGUUAGGGAAGAACAAGUACGAGAGUAACUGCUCGUACCUUGACGGUACCUAACCAGAAAGCCACGGCUAACUACGUGCCAGCAGCCGCGGUAAUACGUAGGUGGCAAGCGUUAUCCGGAAUUAUUGGGCGUAAAGCGCGCGCAGGCGGUUUCUUAAGUCUGAUGUGAAAGCCCACGGCUCAACCGUGGAGGGUCAUUGGAAACUGGGGAACUUGAGUGCAGAAGAGAACAGCGGAAUUCCACGUGUAGCGGUGAAAUGCGUAGAGAUGUGGAGGAACACCAGUGGCGAAGGCGGCUUUUUGGUCUGUAACUGACGCUGAGGCGCGAAAGCGUGGGGAGCAAACAGGAUUAGAUACCCUGGUAGUCCACGCCGUAAACGAUGAGUGCUAAGUGUUAGAGGGUUUCCGCCCUUUAGUGCUGCAGCUAACGCAUUAAGCACUCCGCCUGGGAGUACGGUCGCAAGACUGAAACUCAAAGGAUUUGACGGGGGGCCCGCACAAGCGGUGGAGCAUGUGGUUUAUUUCGAAGCA
This 921-nucleotide ribosomal RNA is filed under the name Priestia megaterium. RNAcentral's name for it is "bacterial SSU rRNA". It matches the Rfam family "Bacterial small subunit ribosomal RNA", at positions 56 to 958 of the family's 1533-position model. The record is from RNAcentral. Lineage: Bacteria; Bacillati; Bacillota; Bacilli; Caryophanales; Bacillaceae.